UACGUAGGGGGCAAGCGUUAUCCGGAUUUACUGGGUGUAAAGGGAGCGUAGGCGGUUAUGCAAGUCAGAAGUGAAAGCCCAAAGCUCAACUUCGGGACUGCUUUUGAAACUGUGUAACUAGAGUGCAGGAGGGGUAAGCGGAAUUCCUAGUGUAGCGGUGAAAUGCGUAGAUAUUAGGAGGAACACCGGCGGCGAAGGCGGCUUACUGGACUGUAACUGACGUUGAGGCUCGAAAGCGUGGGGAGCAAACAGG
Molecule: ribosomal RNA, 253 nt
Filed under: uncultured bacterium
Lineage: Bacteria
Description: partial 16S ribosomal RNA
Rfam family: Bacterial small subunit ribosomal RNA
Source: RNAcentral